CGAAGCAACGCGAAGAACCUUACCUGGCCUUGACAUGCUGAGAACUUUCCAGAGAUGGAUUGGUGCCUUCGGGAACUCAGACACAGGUGCUGCAUGGCUGUCGUCAGCUCGUGUCGUGAGAUGUUGGGUUAAGUCCCGUAACGAGCGCAACCCUUGUCCUUAUUUACCAGCACGUUAUGGUGGGCACUCUAAGGAGACUGCCGGUGACAAACCGGAGGAAGGUGGGGAUGACGUCAAGUCAUCAUCGGCCCUUACGGCCAGGGCUACACACGUGCUACAAUGGUCGGUACAGAGGGUUGCCAAGCCGCGAGGUGGAGCUAAUCUCAACAAAACCGAUCGUAGUCCGGAUCGCAGUCUGCAACUCGACUGCGUAAAGUCGGAAUCGCUAGUAAUCGUGAAUCAGAAUGUCACGGUGAAUGCGUUCCCGGGCCUU
This 433-nucleotide ribosomal RNA is filed under the name uncultured Pseudomonas sp. RNAcentral describes it as "bacterial SSU rRNA". It matches the Rfam family "Bacterial small subunit ribosomal RNA", at positions 952 to 1382 of the family's 1533-position model. Lineage: Bacteria; Pseudomonadati; Pseudomonadota; Gammaproteobacteria; Pseudomonadales; Pseudomonadaceae. The record is from RNAcentral.